Molecule: small RNA, 21 nt
Filed under: Arabidopsis thaliana (thale cress)
Lineage: Eukaryota; Viridiplantae; Streptophyta; Magnoliopsida; Brassicales; Brassicaceae
Description: AGO1_4268
Source: RNAcentral
CUAGGAUGGGUGACCUCCCGG